Molecule: ribosomal RNA, 699 nt
Filed under: Pseudoniphargus mercadali
Lineage: Eukaryota; Metazoa; Arthropoda; Malacostraca; Amphipoda; Allocrangonyctidae
Description: 12S ribosomal RNA
Source: RNAcentral
AGAUUAUUAUAUAAAUACUAUAAAUUAAAUAUCUAAUAAUAAAAAAAAAAAAAAAAAAAGUAAAAUCAUUGCUUAGAUAUUAAUGUAAAUAUUAUUUUUAUAACAGAGGCUCAUGGGUUAGUUUAUAGUUUUAUUAGAAAUAUUUAUUAAAUUAGUUAAAUUUGUGCCAGCAUCUGCGGUUAGACUAAAAAUUUGAUUAAUAUUUUUUAGAGUUUUGUAUUAUUUUAUAUUUAUACAAUAAAUUUUGGUGGAAUAAAUUAUUUGAGCGUUUAAUUUUAUUGAUCUGUAUGUUUUUUUACUAAGCAGGAUUAGAUACCCUGUUAUUUUAAUUUUUAUUGUUUCUAAGGAAUAAAGUUAAAUUUAAAAGAUUUGGCGGCUGAAAUAAAUUAAAGGAGUCUGUUUUUUUAUUUGAUGAGGCGCACUAGAUUUUACUUACUUUUUUUAGUAUACCGUCAUUUAAGAUAGUUUAUAGUUAAUUAACUAUUGUAAUUAAAUAAAGGAGGUUAGAUCAAGGUGCAGAUAUAAGUAAGGAUAAAUUGACUACAAUAGGUUAUUAUUAUACUUAAUUUUUUUAAAAAAAUUGUGUAGGCGGAUUUAAUUGUAAUUAAAGCGGUAUGAAUUUGCUUUUAGUGUACAAAUUGCCCGUCAUUCUCUAUGAGACAAGUCGAAACAAAGUAGGGCUAUCGGAAGUUGGACCUA